AGAACGAACGCUGGCGGCGUGGAUAAGACAUGCAAGUCGAACGCGACUUAUCUGAUUAGCAAUAAUUAGGUAAGUUGAGUGGCGAAAGGGUGCGUAACACGUGGGAAUUUACCAAGAAGUGGGGAAUAGCUCGACGAAAGUCGAAUUAAUACCGCAUGUGAUCGAAAGAUCAAAGCCGGGGACCGCAAGGCCUGGCGCUUUUUGAGAAGCCCGCGGCCCAUCAGCUAGUUGGCGGGGUAACGGCCCACCAAGGCUAUGACGGGUAGCUGGUCUGAGAGGACGACCAGCCACACUGGAACUGAGACACGGUCCAGACACCUACGGGUGGCAGCAGUCGAGAAUUUUUCACAAUGGACGAAAGUCUGAUGGAGCGACGCCGCGUGGAGGAUGAAGGUUUUCGGAUUGUAAACUCCUGUCACUGCAGACAAGGCAGUGCGUAUGAAUAGUACGUGC
Molecule: ribosomal RNA, 453 nt
Filed under: uncultured bacterium
Lineage: Bacteria
Description: SSU rRNA
Rfam family: Bacterial small subunit ribosomal RNA
Source: RNAcentral